GACGAACGCUGGCGGCGUGCCUAAUACAUGCAAGUCGAGCGAGCGGAACUAACAGAUUUACUUCGGUAAUGACGUUAGGAAAGCGAGCGGCGGAUGGGUGAGUAACACGUGGGGAACCUGCCCCAUAGUCUGGGAUACCACUUGGAAACAGGUGCUAAUACCGGAUAAGAAAGCAGAUCGCAUGAUCAGCUUUUAAAAGGCGGCGUAAGCUGUCGCUAUGGGAUGGCCCCGCGGUGCAUUAGCUAGUUGGUAAGGUAAAGGCUUACCAAGGCGAUGAUGCAUAGCCGAGUUGAGAGACCGAUCGGCCACAUUGGGACUGAGACACGGCCCAAACUCCUACGGGAGGCAGCAGUAGGGAAUCUUCCACAAUGGACGCAAGUCUGAUGGAGCAACGCCGCGUGAGUGAAGAAGGUUUUCGGAUCGUAAAGCUCUGUUGUUGGUGAAGAAGGAUAGAGGUAGUAACUGGCCUUUAUUUGACGGUAAUCAACCAGAAAGUCACGGCUAACUACGUG
Molecule: ribosomal RNA, 512 nt
Filed under: uncultured bacterium
Lineage: Bacteria
Description: partial 16S ribosomal RNA
Rfam family: Bacterial small subunit ribosomal RNA
Source: RNAcentral